CGGCGGAACACGUGAAAUUCCGUCGGAAUCCGGGAGGACCAUCUCCCAAGGCUAAAUACUCCCUAGUGACCGAUAGUGAACCAGUACCGUGAGGGAAAGGUGAAAAGCACCCCGGAAGGGGAGUGAAACAGUUCCUGAAACCGUGUGCCUACAAGUAGUUAGAGCCCGUUAAUGGGUGAUAGCGUGCCUUUUGUAGAAUGAACCGGCGAGUUACGAUUUGUUGCAAGGUUAAGCGGAAAAAGCGGAGCCGUAGCGAAAGCGAGUCUGAAUAGGGCGCAUAAGUAACAGGUCGUAGACCCGAAACCAGGUGAUCUACCCAUGUCCAGGAUGAAGGUAAGGUAAUACUUACUGGAGGUCCGAACCCACGCACGUUGAAAAGUGCGGGGAUGAGGUGUGGGUAGCGGAGAAAUUCCAAUCGAACUUGGAGAUAGCUGGUUCUCUCCGAAAUAGCUUUAGGGCUAGCCUCGAGGUAAAGAGUCAUGGAGGUAGAGCACUGUUUGGACUAGGGGCCCUUCUCGGGUUACCGAAUUCAGAUAAACUCCGAAUGCCAUGUACUUAUACUCGGGAGUCAGACUGCGAGUGAUAAGAUCCGUAGUCGAAAGGGAAACAGCCCAGACCACCAGUUAAGGUCCCCAAAUAUAUGUUAAGUGGAAAAGGAUGUGGGGUUGCUUAGACAACCAGGAUGUUGGCUUAGAAGCAGCCACCAUUGAAAGAGUGCGUAAUAGCUCACUGGUCGAGUGACCCCGCGCCGAAAAUGUACCGGGGCUAAACAUAUUACCGAAACUGUGGAUGAACCUCUUUAGAGGUUCGUGGUAGGAGAGCGUUCUAAGGGCGGUGAAGUCAGACCGGAAGGACUGGUGGAGCGCUUAGAAGUGAGAAUGCCGGUAUGAGUAGCGAAAGAAGGGUGAGAAUCCCUUCCACCGAAUAUCUAAGGUUUCCUGAGGAAGGCUCGUCCGCUCAGGGUUAGUCGGGACCUAAGCCGAGGCCGAUAGGCGUAGGCGAUGGACAACAGGUAGAGAUUCCUGUACCAGUGCUAAUUGUUUAACCGAUGGGGUGACACAGAAGGAUAGGGAAUCGCACGAAUGGAAAUGUGCGUCCAAGCAGUGAGUGUGAGAAGUAGGCAAAUCCGCUUCUCGCGAAGCAUGAGCUGUGAUGGGGAAGGAAAUUAAGUACGGAAGUUCCUGAUUUCACGCUGUCAAGAAAAGCCUCUAGGAAGAGUAGUACUGCCCGUACCGCAAACCGACACAGGUAGAUGAGGAGAGAAUCCUAAGGUGAGCGAGAGAACUCUCGUUAAGGAACUCGGCAAAAUGACCCCGUAACUUCGGGAGAAGGGGUGCUCUAUUAGGGUGCAAGCCCGAGAGAGCCGCAGUGAAUAGGCCCAGGCGACUGUUUAGCAAAAACACAGGUCUCUGCAAAACCGUAAGGUGACGUAUAGGGGCUGACGCCUGCCCGGUGCUGGAAGGUUAAGAGGAGUGCUUAGCUUCGGCGAAGGUACGAAUUGAAGCCCCAGUAAACGGCGGCCGUAACUAUAACGGUCCUAAGGUAGCGAAAUUCCUUGUCGGGUAAGUUCCGACCCGCACGAAAGGCGCAACGAUCUGGGCACUGUCUCAACGAGAGACUCGGUGAAAUUAUAGUACCUGUGAAGAUGCAGGUUACCCGCGACAGGACGGAAAGACCCCGUGGAGCUUUACUGCAACCUGAUAUGGAAUGUUUGUACCGCUUGUACAGGAUAGGUAGGAGCCGAAGAGACGUGUGCGCUAGCAUACGAGGAGGCAAUGGUGGGAUACUACCCUGGCUGUAUGACCAUUCUAACCCGCCACGCUUAGCGCGUGGGGAGACAGUGUCAGGUGGGCAGUUUGACUGGGGCGGUCGCCUCCUAAAGAGUAACGGAGGCGCCCAAAGGUUCCCUCAGAAUGGAUGGAAAUCAUUCGCAGAGUGUAAAGGCACAAGGGAGCUUGACUG
Molecule: ribosomal RNA, 1962 nt
Filed under: Listeria monocytogenes
Lineage: Bacteria; Bacillati; Bacillota; Bacilli; Caryophanales; Listeriaceae
Description: bacterial LSU rRNA
Rfam family: Bacterial large subunit ribosomal RNA
Source: RNAcentral